Molecule: non-coding RNA, 168 nt
Organism: Tinamus guttatus (white-throated tinamou)
Lineage: Eukaryota; Metazoa; Chordata; Aves; Tinamiformes; Tinamidae
Source: RefSeq, a predicted model, not a curated record
AGUUCCUCGGCCCUGCUCUUCCUGCCCAGACGCUCGUCGGGGACCGGGGCCAGGUUGCGAGGGGACACCGUGGUCUACAGCAUCCUCAAGAGGAGCCAGGGGGACGGCAAGGCUCCUGAAGGUCCCGACUACGAGAACGUCCCCCCUGGCCAGGGACAUGGGGACGGG